Non-coding RNA from Alligator sinensis (Chinese alligator), 93 nucleotides. The record is from Rfam. NCBI's taxonomy places the organism in Eukaryota, Metazoa, Chordata, Crocodylia, Alligatoridae.
GCCCGGCCAAGCCGCGGUGCGACAGGACCCGCUUGCCCAUAACUGGGGCCGCUCGGCUCAUCCCGGCGGCGCUUUUAAAUGCAAGCGACAAGG